Molecule: non-coding RNA, 21 nt
Filed under: Caenorhabditis elegans
Lineage: Eukaryota; Metazoa; Nematoda; Chromadorea; Rhabditida; Rhabditidae
Source: RNAcentral
GAAAUUAUGAAAUAUACAAUU